CCUACGCGUGGCAGCAGUAGGGAAUCUUCCACAAUGGGCGAAAGCCUGAUGGAGCAACGCCGCGUGGGUUAAGAAUGUCUUCGGAUCGUAAAACCCUGUUGUUAGAGAAGAAAGUGCGUGAGAGUAACUGUUCACGUUUCGACGGUAUCUAACCAGAAAGCCACGGCUCACUACGUGCCAGCAGCCGCGGUAAUAAGUAGGUGGCAAGCGUUAUCCGGAUUUAUUGGGCGUAAAGGGAACGCAGGCGGUCUUUUAAGUCUGAUGUGAAAGCCUUCGGCUUAACCGGAGUAGUGCAUUGGAAACUGGGAGACUUGAGUGCAGAAGAGGAGAGCGGAACUCCAGGGGUAGCGGUGAAAUGCUUAGAUAUAUGGAAGAACACCAGUGGCGAAAGCGGCUCUCUGGUCUGUAACUGACGCUGAGGUUCGAAAGCGUGGGUAGCAAACAGGAUUAGAUACCCCUGUAGUC
This 465-nucleotide ribosomal RNA is filed under the name uncultured bacterium. Its description in RNAcentral is "partial 16S ribosomal RNA". It matches the Rfam family "Bacterial small subunit ribosomal RNA", at positions 338 to 795 of the family's 1533-position model. The record is from RNAcentral.